Molecule: ribosomal RNA, 497 nt
Filed under: uncultured bacterium
Lineage: Bacteria
Description: partial 16S ribosomal RNA
Rfam family: Bacterial small subunit ribosomal RNA
Source: RNAcentral
GAUGAACGCUGGCGGUGUGCCUAAUACAUGCAAGUCGAGCGAACAGACGAGGAGCUUACUCCUCUGACGUUAGCGGCGGACGGGUGAGUAACACGUGGAUAACCUACCUAUAAGACUGGGAUAACUUCGGGAAACCGGAGCUAAUACCGGAUAACAUGUUGAACCGCAUGGUUCAACAGUGAAAGACGGUCUUGCUGUCACUUAUAGAUGGAUCCGCGUCGCAUUAGCUAGUUGGUAAGGUAACGGCUUACCAAGGCAACGAUGCGUAGCCGACCUGAGAGGGUGAUCGGCCACACUGGAACUGAGACACGGUCCAGACUCCUACGGGAGGCAGCAGUAGAGAAUCUUCCGCAAUGGGCGAAAGCCUGACGGAGCAACGCCGCGUGAGUGAAGAAGGUCUUCGGAUCGUAAAACUCUGUUAUUAGGGAAGAACAAAUGUGUAAGUAACUAUGCACGUCUUGACGGUACCUAAUCAGAAAGCCACGGCUAACUACGUG